CAACCUUCACUGUUCUGACCUAGGUUGCUCGAAAAACGAAACCAACACCUUCACUCCCAAACGAAAGCAACACCAACACUGCUUCCGUUCUCACCGGCGGCUUCACCCUUCCGUUCACUGUCGUCGUUGCUCUGUCGUCGUUGCUUCACUGACGCCGUUCCCCUUGCGCUGCACUCCUUCUUGCUUCACCCUCCUCACUGCUUCACCCUCACUUUCCCCUGCGCUUGUUUAGGUCUGCUCCCUGUUUAGAGCCGCCGCCCACGGCUGUCGUCCACGGCACGGCAGCCGCCCACGCCGCAGCCCACUCCGCCGCCCUUAGGUUUGGUUACUAUUGCUGAUCGAACUGCAGAGGAAUAUAUGGUUACCAUUAUUAUGAAACAUUUCCCGUCUCACGCAGUGUAAGUUAAAGUUGGGAGCUUGUAUUUUGACUUAUCAUUUCAGGAUCAUGAAUGUGUUUUUCCCCUCAAGAUAUGGCUUUGCCUUAUUGCUGAUAGGGGCUGAGUAACAGAAUGUUGUAAGAUUGUCAAUACUUUUAAUAAUUUGUUAUUGAUUUGCACUUUUGGAGAAGAGAAUGGUUGGAGGUGUAAAGAAAAGCAUUCAAAUUAUGUAUGGGUUUUAUAUCCUAUUGAUGGCACAAAGAGCUUUAUUACUGGAAAACCUGUAUUAGGUACUCCCAUAGCUCUUCUGUUCAAGGGUAAGCCGGUAUGAAUCAAUUGUAAUUCAUGCGAAUCUAGGUAAAUGUUUAAUAGAUGGAAAUAAGGACUAUUAUCUUCUUGUGAAAAGAAUAUUUUAAGAGAAAUUCCAUGUGUUGUUUUGCGCUUAAUGCUUAUCUUUACAAGAGCUUUUAUAUUGCUAAAACAUGACAUGACUAGCAGUUAUUUUUGUGCUAUAAUUUCUAUAGCUUCCCUUUCCAAUAUUUUCUACAAGUAACAUUGAUGUUUGCAGAUACUAGGUAUAAUUGAUCAACCUAUUCUCAGAGAAAGAUGGAUUGGUAUAAGUGGGAAGAGGACUACAUUAAAUUCUGUUAUUGUCAUAGUUUCUGGCUUCUUUUUAUUUCAAGGAAAUGUUAGCUCGGUUUCCAUGAUAUACUGUAGGCUAUCAUGAGGAAGUCUUUUUCGGCUGUCAUUGGUGAGCUGUAGCGUCAGGCAUGGAUGAAGAUCAACACGCAAAUUCAGGGCCAUCUAACGAAUCACCAAAUCAAGUACCCCAAAAGAAAAAAAGGAAGCCAAGAGGUCUUUGCUUGCCUAAACUUGAGGUCUACAUAUUUAAUUCUCAACAGAAGAAGAGAAAUUUGGUGAUUAAGGAGCCACUAAACAAUGCUUUCGGAGUUACAAGAGACUAAGUGGACAAUCUAAGGGAACUAAAUUAACAUGGAUUCCAGCACAGUGUGCUCAACAACCGGGAUCACUAGAUUGUGGCUACUACGUCAUGCGUUUUAUGUACGACAUAAUAAUGAAUCAUGGUAAUAGUCAAGAUCUUACUACGGAUUUUUCAAAAACAUUGCCUUAUUCACCGGAGGAGACUAAUGAGGUGAAAGAUGUUUGGGCAGAUUACUUUGUGAACAAUGUUGAAUUUUAGCUUAAUUUGUACUAUGAACUCGAUCUCUAGCUAGCUACCUUUGUUGUAAUAAUUUUAUGUUUGUAAUUGUAACAUGUUGGUGUAGACACCUACUUUUGUCCCCAUUCCCGCAAGGGAAAGGUUCGAUGAUGAAAGCAUAAAAACUCCACUUGACAA
Molecule: long non-coding RNA, 1734 nt
Organism: Spinacia oleracea (spinach)
Lineage: Eukaryota; Viridiplantae; Streptophyta; Magnoliopsida; Caryophyllales; Amaranthaceae
Exons: 7
Source: RefSeq, a predicted model, not a curated record